RNAcentral lists this ribosomal RNA (599 nucleotides) under uncultured bacterium. RNAcentral's name for it is "bacterial SSU rRNA". It matches the Rfam family "Bacterial small subunit ribosomal RNA", at positions 43 to 655 of the family's 1533-position model. The record is from RNAcentral.
CGUGCUUAACACAUGCAAGUCGAACGAGAACGGAACUAGCUUGCUAGUUUGUCAGCUAAGUGGCGCACGGGUGAGUAAUAUAUAGUUAACCUGCCUUCAAGAAGGGAAUAAUUGUUGGAAACGACUUGUAAGACCCUAUAUGCCUUUAUCACAUAAGUGAGCAAGGGAAAUAUUUAUAGCUUGAAGAUGGGACUGUACGGUAUCAGAUUGUUGGUGAGGUAAUGGCUCACCAAGUCUAUGACGCCUAACUGGUUUGAGAGGAUGAUCAGUCACACUGGAACUGAGACACGGUCCAGACUCCUACGGGAGGCAGCAGUGGGGAAUAUUGCACAAUGGACGAAAGUCUGAUGCAGCAACGCCGCGUGGAGGAUGACACAUUUCGGUGCGUAAACUCCUUUUAUAUAAGAAGAUAAUGACGGUAUUAUAUGAAUAAGCACCGGCUAACUCCGUGCCAGCAGCCGCGGUAAUACGGGGGGUGCAAGCGUUACUCGGAAUCACUGGGCGUAAAGAGCAUGUAGGCGGGUAUUUAAGUUGGAAGUGAAAUCCUAUGGCUUAACCAUAGAACUGCUUCCAAAACUGAAUACCUAGAGUAUGGGAGA